UCUCAAUUUAACCCCAAAAUUUCGCUUAUCUUCAUUUCCUCAGGUUCUCCCUCCACUCCUUCACACUACUCCCUCCUUCAAUCCACGCCAUUCUCAGAUUUUCACCCCAAAAAUCUGCCAAAUUUUGCCACUCUUUCACUCCUCCACUUCUCCCUCCUUCACGCUCAGAUUAUUUUGCCCCAAUCUUUUGCCUUCCUCCUUCAAUCUCCCAUCCGGCCUUCCUCCUUCCUUCACGCCUCCGGCACUGGCAGCAACUCAGGACCCAUCAACGGCAGCAACCCACCGGCACCAUCGUCUUCAUUAGCAACCCACCGGCACCAUUGUCUUUCUCAUAAGCAAUGUUGGGUUGUUUUAAUCUGUUGACCUAAUCUAGAUUUUUAAUCGGUUAGGUAUAUUCAUAUGUAUGUAGAAGAUCUUUUUGUGCAGGAUGUUGUAUAUAUGAAAUAGUGGAAGAUCUUUUUGACCUAACUGAAGCCUGCAUAACAAUAAGGCAUUUGUACUUUCACCAUGUUUGUUGGGCUAUUGUGAGGUGUUGAGGAAUACAACUUUACUUUGAUAAAGGUUCAUAUCUGAGAUAGAGGCAGUUUGCAGGCAAUGGUUAGCAGAUGGCUCUAGAAAUUUAUUGGAUACUAUGAAAGUUCUGGUGCAAAGGUAUUAGAGGAUGACAUGAUUGAGAUCUAUGACAAUGCUGUGAGGCCUUAAAUGUAGUUCAGUUCUUGUUUCUUCAGCCCAAUCUCGUUUCUGAUGAAGUGAUUGCACUAUUACCAGAUUCUGAAAGUUCCUUCACUCCUUAAUCCUUAUAGCUAUAAGUGCCAAGGUCAAAGUAUGAUGCUUGUGAGUUGUGACUGAUUAAGCACUAGUGCCACAGAUUGCAUGUGAAUUGUAUUAAAUGUAUGGUUCGGUGUUGUUUAUUCUUAUUAGUAUCAUAAACUUGUAUUGGUAUGAAACUACUAUUGGUGUUACAAUUGCUAUUUGCAAGUGGAUAAUUUGUAUUUUAAAUUAAAUUUACAAAGCAGUGAAUUUUUUUUUUUAUUUU
Molecule: long non-coding RNA, 1036 nt
Organism: Ipomoea nil (Japanese morning glory)
Lineage: Eukaryota; Viridiplantae; Streptophyta; Magnoliopsida; Solanales; Convolvulaceae
Exons: 5
Source: RefSeq, a predicted model, not a curated record